Molecule: ribosomal RNA, 430 nt
Filed under: Pseudomonadota bacterium
Lineage: Bacteria; Pseudomonadati; Pseudomonadota
Description: Proteobacteria bacterium partial 16S ribosomal RNA
Rfam family: Bacterial small subunit ribosomal RNA
Source: RNAcentral
UGGGGAAUAUUGGACAAUGGGGGGAACCCUGAUCCAGCCAUGCCGCGUGUGUGAAGAAGGCCUUAUGGUUGUAAAGCACUUUAAGAGAGGAGGAGGGUACUGGUAUUAAUACUACCAGGUACUGGACGUUACUCGCAGCAUAAGCACUGGCUCACUCUGUGCCAGCAGCCGCGGUAAUACAGAGGGUGCGAGCGUUAAUCGGAUUUACUGGGCGUAAAGCGUGCGUAGGCGGCUAAUUGAGUCGGAUGUGAAAUCCCCGAGCUUAACUUGGGAAUUGCAUUCGAUACUGGUUAGCUAGAGUGUGGGAGAGGAUGGUAGAAUUCCAGGUGUAGCGGUGAAAUGCGUAGAGAUCUGGAGGAAUACCGAUGGCGAAGGCAGCCAUCUGGCCUAACACUGACGCUGAGGUACGAAAGCAUGGGGAGCAAACAGG